This 69-nucleotide transfer RNA is filed under the name Hydropsyche columnata. RNAcentral describes it as "tRNA-Gln". Lineage: Eukaryota; Metazoa; Arthropoda; Insecta; Trichoptera; Hydropsychidae. The record is from RNAcentral.
UAUAUUUUAGUGUAUUUAGCAUUAAAGAUUUUGAUUCUUUAAGAUUUAAUUAAUAAUUAAAAGAUAUAA